This 573-nucleotide long non-coding RNA is filed under the name Ricinus communis (castor bean). RNAcentral's name for it is "long non-coding RNA (RCOM_LNC000115)". The record is from RNAcentral. Lineage: Eukaryota; Viridiplantae; Streptophyta; Magnoliopsida; Malpighiales; Euphorbiaceae.
AGGGACACUAAAACGUGAGUUGUGCGGGUGACCAGUGUCCUUGACCUUUAAUACUGAUUGGGACAGCAAAUGCUUUUUAAGGCCUCCAGAAUUGAAAUCGAAUCCAAGAUUGUUUAAUAUUCAAGAAACCACUGCUAGCAACAACAUUAAUGGUGCUCAUUGUUUCCUACUUGAAAAUUAAACCAUCUCGGUACCCAUAUUAAUAUCUUCCAAAUUAAUUCCUACCCAGAAGUCCAAGAGCACAUAAUUAAGAAUGGCUUAAAUUCAUGUAGAAAUGGUGAGAUUACGAAACAGGCCCUAGACGAAGAGUGGGAUUUGGUUUCUUUAAGGGCAUUAUUAAAAGCAAAGUCGCAGUCUGUAGGUAUCUGGGAGUGGGUGCAGAAGGGGUACGUAUGUUGCAAAUUUAUAUGAGAUCGUUUUUGUCUUUUUAUAAGUUUAGCAAAGUCCUGUCUAUUGAUUUAAAGGAAACAGAUUUGAUUUUGAGAAGACGUAGUGUGUGGCCAAAGGGAUGAGCUGUCCCUUCACAGCAAGCAAACCCAGAAUGUGAAUUCCUUUUUCUCCCCUGCUGCUGCU